AUUGAACGCUGGCGGCAGGCUUAACACAUGCAAGUCGAGCGGAGUGAUGGUGCUUGCACUAUCACUUAGCGGCGGACGGGUGAGUAAUGCUUAGGAAUCUGCCUAUUAGUGGGGGACAACAUCUCGAAAGGGAUGCUAAUACCGCAUACGUCCUACGGGAGAAAGCAGGGGAUCACUUGUGACCUUGCGCUAAUAGAUGAGCCUAAGUCGGAUUAGCUAGUUGGUGGGGUAAAGGCCUACCAAGGCGACGAUCUGUAGCGGGUCUGAGAGGAUGAUCCGCCACACUGGGACUGAGACACGGCCCAGACGCCUACGGGAGGUAGCAGUGGGGAAUAUUGGACAAUGGGGGGAACCCUGAUCCAGCCAUGCCGCGUGUGUGAAGAAGGCCUUAUGGUUGUAAAGCACUUUAUGCGAGGAGGAGGCUCUUUUGGUUAAUACCCAAGAUGAGUGGACGUUACUCGCAGAAUAAGCACCGGCUAACUCUGUGCCAGCCGCCGCAGUAA
RNAcentral lists this ribosomal RNA (503 nucleotides) under uncultured bacterium. RNAcentral's name for it is "partial 16S ribosomal RNA". It matches the Rfam family "Bacterial small subunit ribosomal RNA", at positions 30 to 523 of the family's 1533-position model. The record is from RNAcentral.